Long non-coding RNA from Cyprinus carpio carpio, 2593 nucleotides. The record is from Ensembl. Lineage: Eukaryota; Metazoa; Chordata; Actinopteri; Cypriniformes; Cyprinidae.
AUUUUUUUUUUUUUUUUUUUUUCCUUUUUUUUAUGUGUAUGGUUAAAAAAAUAAGCUGAAUGUUAAGCUUUGAUGUAGAUGAAUGAAUGUCAGUGUCUGCUGGAACUUGACCAAGCAUCUGUGCACGAGUACAUAACCACUGUUAAAAACACUCUCAGUGGAGGCUUUUUAAUUUAAUUUAGUCUAAUGGACUUCAGUGCUGAAUCAAUCAGAACUUAUUCAGUUACUAUGUUAUGUAUCUGAUCGGCCAUUUUAUUGAGAUACCACAGAGACAAGAAACUCAUUCUGAUGCAUUGUGCAAUAGAAGCCAGAGACCCUUUCUUCAGUCCACACUGAAGCUUAUUGAAACUUAAGACUCCUUUUUUUUCUUGAAGAUUUUGAAAGAAUUUAACCUUUGAACUCAUUUUCCCACCUUGCCUCUGCUUGUCUGGCUUGCUGGCUGUUCGGUAUUUGCGUGGAAAGGAGGAACUGUUAAUUGUGUUUGACGUCACUUCAUGCAGUUUUAAACCUGGCAUGUGUGGGAUCACACAGUCUCCCAGCCACUUCUUCACCAAACAGAACAGAAACGGAAUCCAGAGCGGAGACACAUGGCAUGGGAGUCAGGCACAAUACCAAAUACAAUGGGUUUCUCUUAAUGCAGUACAGAGUAAGAGACCUGUGCAUUUGGUACAAACAUAAAAGAUAUCUAUGCGUUCUAUGUCUCUUCUUAAAUGGGGUAUUAUCAUAGCACUUAUUGCAAGAGUUAUGCUCCUUCUGUGAAGCCAAUAAAUCAGAUAAUGGAGUGUAUAGUUACAAAAAAAAAAAAAAAAAAAAACAACCUUCUAAUGGCAACUUUUUACUUUUUAUUUUUUUCUCUGGUCCAGAAACUUGAGUACAGAAAAAAAAGAAAAAAAAAUUCAGAAUGAAGGGAAGAACAAACUCUACAAUCAAACAAAACUCACAAUGUAUGUUUUUUGUGUCUGUACUUUUUUCCCACUCUCUCUCAAAGUGAUUGACAUUGUUACUCAAAUGAAAUAGUCAAAUGUCUUUAUCUGUCUGAAGGAGGCACCUCGAUUUGAUUGGAUUUGAAAAGGAGGAUGUGUGGUGUGUUAGUGCCUCAAUGUGGGAACUGAUUGGAGGACGUUUGAUUCUCCAUCACAACUCUCUCCGUGCACCUAGUACAAUGGAAUGCAAGAAAGGACAUUAAUGACGUCAUGAUGUGCACGUUGUCGUCGUCAUUUAUCAUUUGCAUCCUUGUUGUAGUAAUUGGGUACGGAUUUUUGAAUGUCUCCCCGUUCCUUCUCUGGAUAACAUCACCCCUCUCAUGCAUCCUUACCAAGUUUGAGACUGAAUGGAAUUGCCAGUGUUGUGAAACAUGCUUUUUCACAUUCUUUUGGUCUUCAUGCAGUGGUCUUUAACUGCCUUGCAGUGCUCAUAUGCAGAUACACUUUAAAAGAGGUGCCUCUGUAUAGCUGUCUUGUGUAACGAAUGCAAACAAAGAUCAGUGAUGGGGGCCAUGUUGGUUUUUGUUGUUAACAGUGUUCUUAGGUCAUUUAGAUUAGGGCCUCUUUUGUUGAUGUGCGUGUAUGUGACCUCACCCUGGGUAUCCCACCUCUAACUCAGCUGCUAGCAUCUUCUUUCUCUUAUGUGGCCUCAGUGAAGCCAACCCUGUUAUCGAGACAAGCCACCCAUACUUGAAAAAGCCCUGUCCAAGCAGUGUUUCUAUGGACAGACUCUUUCUGCCACUGGUUCUUUAACUACAGCCCAUGGCAUGCUGUCACUAUGCAAAGUUAGAGAAGAUGGGCAAGUAAUGUCCGCCCUGUGCCAAUCUGUGGCUUUGAAAGAAAGUAGGAAAUAUCUCACAGUCCUCCCAUAAUACUUUCUUGCAUACUCAAGGUCAUUGUCAUCCUUUUAAACUUAGAAUGUUGUCUGACACUAAGCCAGUUACAUUUUUGGAGGACUGUGUGUUAAUUCUGCUGAAUUUGAUCAAUCUCAUUUCAGUAUAAUCUCAGGGCAAGACAAGAUUAACUAAAUUUAUGUUUAUUGAAAGUCGAUCAUUUUGGAGAUUUAUCAUUUGUAAGCUUUACACAUUUAAUGAUGUGUAUGAAGCUUACAAAGUGUACAUUAAAGAAACGCAAGGGGAUAUUUAUCAGUGGGGCAAUAAAUUUAGGAGGGUGGCUAGUUUGAGUCUUCUCAAUCCUUUUGAACAGGGACUGCUGCAGAGCCAUCAGUUUGUUUAUACAGUAAAUGGGACCUGUGUAUCUUACCUCUCUGCUGCUGGUUGUGCUGAAUUCCCCUUAUGGUCUCAUGUGCCAGUAUAUACAUAGAUAUAUGUACAGUACACUGUGGCAUCUCUGACUUCACAUCUUAAAUUCCAAUGCGUGUCGUUUUGUUUAUUGAGCACUUCUGUUGAGUGGCACUUUGAUGAUUGUUGUGUGUUUGAGGUGGGAUUAGGUUCAAAAUGGUUGAGGAUAUUCGUCAGAUAUUUGUCACCUCAUCCUGAUUAUUUGUGAUAAUCUUGUUACUGUCAUUGGAAGAAUCCUAUAUAACAAACAAGAACUUUAACAGCAUUGGGGUUAUGGUAUGCUAAAGGCAUACUUUUUUUGAAUACCAA